This 492-nucleotide ribosomal RNA is filed under the name uncultured bacterium. RNAcentral's name for it is "partial 16S ribosomal RNA". It matches the Rfam family "Bacterial small subunit ribosomal RNA", at positions 29 to 507 of the family's 1533-position model. The record is from RNAcentral.
AGUGAACGCUGGCGGUAGGCCUAACACAUGCAAGUCGAACGGCAGCACAGUAAGAGCUUGCUCUUACGGGUGGCGAGUGGCGGACGGGUGAGGAAUACAUCGGAAUCUACUUUUUCGUGGGGGAUAACGUAGGGAAACUUACGCUAAUACCGCAUACGACCUACGGGUGAAAGCAGGGGAUCUUCGGACCUUGCGCGAUUGAAUGAGCCGAUGUCGGCUUAGCUAGUUGGCGGGGUAAAGGCCCACCAAGGCGACGAUCCGUAGCUGGUCUGAGGGGAUGAUCAGCCGCACUGGAACUGAGACACGGUCCAGACUCCUACGGGAGGCAGCAGUGGGGAAUAUUGGACAAUGGGGGCAAGCCUGAUCCAGCCAUACCGCGUGGGUGAAGAAGGCCUUCGGGUUGUAAAGCCCUUUUGUUGGGAAAGAAAAGCAGCAGGUUAAUACCCCGCUGUUCUGACGGUACCCAAAGAAUAAGCACCGGCUAACUUCGUG